RNAcentral lists this ribosomal RNA (254 nucleotides) under uncultured bacterium. Its description in RNAcentral is "partial 16S ribosomal RNA". It matches the Rfam family "Bacterial small subunit ribosomal RNA", at positions 524 to 776 of the family's 1533-position model. The record is from RNAcentral.
GACGUAGGGAGCAAGCGUUGUCCGGAUUUACUGGGCGUAAAGCGCGCGUAGGCGGUUUGUUAAGUGAGAAGUGAAAUCUCCAGGGCUCAACCCGGAAAUUGCUUUUCAUACUGGCAGACUUGAGGAAUGCAGAGGUAAGUGGAAUUCCUGGUGUAGCGGUGACAUGCAUUGAUAUCAGGAGGAACACCCAUGGCGAAGGCAGCUUACUGGGCAUUAUCUGACGCUGAGGCGCGAAAGCGUGGGGAGCAAACAGG